CUCUGAGACUAAGCCAUGCAUGUCUAAGUAUAAACAAAUUUGUACUGUAAACUGCGGACGGCUCAUUAAAUCAGUUACAAUCUACUUGAUCGUAUAUUCAAAGAAUUAAUCGGGUAACCCUAGUAAUUCUAGAGCUAAUACGUGCAAAAAGCUCCGACCUCUUUUAACCGAGGGGAAAGAGUGUAUUUAUUAGGUAACUUAAAACCAAUCAGCCCAAAAGGCUGUUUUGUUGAUGAUUCAUAAUAACUUUGCAAAUCGCGGGCCAAUGUCUGCGAUGAUACAAACGAGUUUCUGACCUAUCAACUUUAGAUGGCAGGAUAGGGGCUUGCCAUGGUGACAACGGGUGACGGGGAAUUAGGGUUCGAUUCCGGAGAGGGAGCCUUGAGAAAACGGCUUACCACUUCC
This 405-nucleotide ribosomal RNA is filed under the name uncultured eukaryote. RNAcentral describes it as "bacterial SSU rRNA". It matches the Rfam family "Eukaryotic small subunit ribosomal RNA", at positions 36 to 417 of the family's 1831-position model. The record is from RNAcentral.